UUCUUUAAUAGUUUUCUUUGUCUGGAAUCAUAAGCUCAAAAUGGUGGAGCAACCCAAACCAGAUUUGGUUAGGGGAGGAUGGUGGUUCGAAUCCACCUGAUUCCGCAUUUCAGUUUCUUGUAGGAGUGCAGAGAUGUAAAUUGGAGUGUGCGGGGAUGUAAAUAAAUUUAUUUGCUGAGUGUGAAUACUUUAGCAUUAUGCAUGUUGGCUUACCUGGGCUCAAUGCUCUCAGAAAAAAUGGAUUUCCUCUCAAUUUUUGUCUAAGUUGUAAGUUUCAUUGUAAGUAACCAUUCAUGUUUUAGGUCCAUUGCCGUGAUUCUCUGAAAAUGUCAUGUUUGAUGAUGUUUUAAUUCCAUUCCCGUGAUUCUAUGAAUGUCAUGUUUAAUGUUUCUUUCUACUUCCUAUACUCCUAACCUGGGAUUGUUCCAUCAAAACUACAUUUGACAGACAGCUUGUGUUAUCAUCUCUUUGUUAAUUCUCAUCGCCUGGCUUUCUUCAAAGUGACAAUAGAAUAGGUUUAUGUGAAUAAACUUUUUUGUUUUUUUUGUAUGUGUGGUGGGGGUUUAUUUGGGUUAAUAUUCAUAGGGGUCAGUAAAGAUAUCCCAAAAACUGAAAAUUACAUAUAUCAGGCUCUCAUAAGGUAAUAAUAUCAUAUGCAGAGAAAAUGAGUGAGUGCAUUUUUUAUUUUAUCUAAAAUACUGCUAAUCAUUUUCUCUAUAAACAUAUUCAGGAUUGAAGAAUAUUUAAUCCUUGAAUCUAAGCUUGUAGUAUAACUUUUCAUUGAAUCGAAAGUAGCAAUCAAUAUAAACAAUCAUCGAUCCCUAAUUUCAUCCUAAAUAAAAGAGAACCCUGAUGAACCCUAAUUUCAUCAUAAAUAAAAGAGAGAGAGAGAGAGAGUACCUGUUCGGUUGCAGUGGCUGUCGAUUUUGAAGUCGAGGGAAGGCGAGGGAGGAGCAGGGAAGUCGAGGGAGGAGCAGGGAAAUCGAGGGAGCAGGGAAGGAGGGGAGGAGGGAAGUCGAGGGAGGGAGCAGGGAAGGAGAAGGAGCAGGGAGAAGUCAAGUCGAGGGAGGGAGCAGGUAGAUGGAGGGAACCGUCGAGGGAGGGAAGCAGGUCGAGGGAGAGAAUGAGAGAUCGAAUUUGCGAAAGUUUUGUCGAUGAAGGUCGAGCGCCAAAAAUAGCUCGCCCAAUUUUUUUUGCUUUUCAUGUAGCCACGGUUUUUAGCCGUUGCUAAAGCUAGCCACGAUUUAAAACCGUUGCUAAAUUUGUUUUUGCAACGGUUUUUAGCCGUUGCUAGCUCUAGCCACGGUUUAAAACCGUUGCUAAAUUUUUUUGUUGCAACGGUUUUUAGCCGUUGCUAGCUCUAGCCACGGUUUAAAACCGUUGCUAAAUUUUUUUUGUUGCAACGGUUUUUAGCCGUUGCUAAGCCUAGCCACAGUUAAAAACCGUUGCUAAAUUUUUUUUUGCAACGGUUUUGGGCCGUUGCGAAUACUUCCCACGGUCUGUAGUCGUUGCUAAUAUUAGUAACGGUUUUAAACCGUGCCAACUAUACCAACGGUUUUAAACCGUGGCCAGGGUGUUUAUUAGCCACGGUUUUAAGCCGUUGGUACAUAUAGCUACGGUUUUUAGCCGUGGCAAAUGUACCAACGGUUUAAAACCGUGGGCAGCUCGGCGUAGCUAAAUGGCCCUUUUGGUGUAGUGGUUGGUAACCUAAUGAUAGGAGAACCAACAACCAAAGCCCCGAUGAACGACAACCGUAACUAUAAUGGUCCUAAGGUAGCAAAAUUCCUUGUCAGGUAAGUUUUGACCUGCAUGAAAGGCGUAACGAUCUGGGCACUGUCUCAGAGAGAGGCUCGAUGAAAUAGACAUGUCUGUGAAGAUGCGGACUACCUACACCUGGACAAAAAUACCCUAUGAAGCUUUACUAUUCCCUGGGAUUGGCUUUGGGCCUUUCCUUCACAGCUUAGGUGGAAUGUGAAGAAGGUCCCCUUUCGAGGGGGGGGGCAAGCCAUCAGUGAGAUACCAUUCUGAAAGACCUAUAAUUUUGACCUUGUGUCAAGACCUAUAGGCCAAGGGACAUUCUCAGGUAGAUAGUUUCUAUGGGGCGUAGGCCUACCAAAAGUUAACGGUGGCGUGCAAAUGUUUCCUCGAGCCGGACGAAAUUGGCCUCGAGUGCAAAGGCAAAGGGAGCUUGACUGCAAGACCCACCCAUCGAGCAGGGACAAAAGUCGGCCUUACUGAUCCGAUGGUGCCGAGUGGAAGGGUCGUCACUCAACGGAUAAAAGUUACUUUAUGGAUAACAGAAUGAUUUCCCCCAAGUGUUCACAUUGACGGGAAGGUUUGGCACCUCGAUGUUAGCUCUUCGCCACCUGGGGCUGUAGUAUGUUCCAACGGUUGGGAUGUUCGCCCAUUUAAGCGGUAUGUGAGCUGGGUUCAGAACAUCAUGAAACAGUUUGGUCUAUAUCCGGUGUGAGCGUUAGAGCAUUGCGAGGACCUUUACCUAUUAUGAGAGAACCAGGAAGGACGCACCUUUAGUGUACCAGUUAUCGUGCCCACGAUAAACGCUGGGUAGCUAAGUACGGAGCGGAUAAUUGCUGAAAGUAUCUAAGUAGCAAAAUGAGUGUUCUUCUAUUCCGACUUCUCCAGAGCCUCCAAUAGCACACCUGGGACAAUGACGGGUGCCCCUGCAAGGAUGGAGCGACAAAAGUUUUGAGAAUCCAAGAGAAGGUCAUGGCGAGACAAGCCGUUUAUUAUUGCGAUAGGU
RNAcentral lists this ribosomal RNA (2761 nucleotides) under Berberis thunbergii. RNAcentral describes it as "bacterial LSU rRNA". The stretch from base 1319 to 2761 matches the Rfam family "Bacterial large subunit ribosomal RNA". Lineage: Eukaryota; Viridiplantae; Streptophyta; Magnoliopsida; Ranunculales; Berberidaceae. The record is from RNAcentral.